AUAAAGAGAUUACUUUCUGUUAGCUAGGAGCUUCAUCAACAUUGCAUUUUCGUGGGAAACAAAUUUCAAAUGUCCAUUAGUGAUGUAUACAUAUAGAAAAGAAACACAAGAAGCCCAGAGAUGUGAUAAUUUAAGAAUAACAUACAUUGAGAAGCUGGCCAGAAGUGAUGCUAGGUAGAACAAGUGUUGCAGCUUGUUUCUUUGCUUGUUGGAUAAUGGGUUACUGUUGUUGGUCCCAGUUGGUAAUGUCAGCUAACUUUUUCUUCUGAGCAGUUCCCACAGAGAUAGAAUCUCCCUUAACCAGUUUUCUCAAUUGAAUCCCAAAAAACAUCCAAUCCCUAAUUUCUGCCCUCUGAAACUCACUACGUUUCAUUUCUACUCAGGUCCGUUCCUCCCUUUCUCUUCUCUUCCCUUCUUUGAUUUAGGUUUUUCUUUUUCCGAGUCGGUGUUGGUGGCCCUCUCGCACUCAACAUCGUUGUUCCUCGGUCAGGCUCUUGUCCAUCCCUCUCUUUCUCUCCUAUUCUCUUCUCUUCCCUUCCCUUCUUUGAUUUGCAUUUUUCUCUUUCAGAUUCGGUGUUGGUGGUGACCCUCUCGCACUCAACAUCACUGUUUGGAGGCCCGUGUUAAGUUUCUCACUGUGUUUGUGACCUGUGUUCAUGACACUCUCUAUUGUGGUUCAAGUGCCUCACUUCUCCUUUUGACUCCUCUCUUCUUUAAUUUUCUCUGAUUAUGGUAUGUCUGUGUCUUUUAAUAAUGUCCUUUUGCUUGUUGCCUUGUUCUGAGUUCAGUUGAAUAGGGCAUUUGUAUUAUUGAUGUCAGAACUUCUAUAUUUCCAAAUUGCUUUCUAGUGUUAGAUGUUUGGAUUUGGUAAUUUAACAUAGUGAAACUGAAUGCUUAUUGAUUUAGUGAAUCAUUUAAAUGGUAGUUAAUACUUAUUAGUUGUUAUACUUGUAGCAUAUUAGUUUGCUGUUUUUUUACAGCCAAGAGCUAUGUAGUAAAUUGCAAGUUUGUUAUAUUUCUUGCUUCAUAAACUAAAGCAAUGGAUAAGUCAUGGAUUUCGAUGCCCCGAAAUUCACUUGCAUAUGAGAAAGGGGUUAAGGGCUUUUUAGAUUUUGCUUUUGAGCGUAGUCUGUUGAUGGUAAAAUAUUAUGCCCAUGUGUUCUAUGUGAAUGUAGAAAGUGGCAAAUUAAGGAUGUGGUAUAUGAUCACUUAAUUGUUAAGCAAUUCCCGAAAAAUUACACCUUCUAGUUUUAUCAUGGGGAGUCCGGUCAUGUGGAAAAUGAAAAGGUUGGUAGGGCCAAUGUUUCAAAUUCAACACAAAACAUUUUGACCCAUGAAGAUACUAUCCAGAACAUGCUGAAUGAAGCUUUUGGAGUUGACAGGCACCGUGUGAAUGAACCAAAUGAAGAAUUCGCACAAGGUGAAGGAGAAAUUCCAAAUGUAGAGGAGCAAGGACAUCAAGCUAGAGAAUUUUACGACUUAGCAAAAGAUGGGGAACAACCAUUGUAUGAAGGGUGCACACGAUAUUCUAAACUCUCUUUCAUAGUUAAGUUGUAUCAUAUCAAAUGCCUAUGUAAGAUGACAGAUAAGGCUAUGACAAUGAUACUAGAACUACUACAUGAUGCAUUUGAACAUGCUAAGAUUCCAAGUUCAUUCUACGAGGCGAAGAAAUAUUUAACCAAGCUUGGAUUGAGCUAUGAAAAGAUACAUGCAUGUCCAAGAAAUUGUAUGUUGUACUGUGGUGCGGAUUAUAGGGAACAAUGCAAAGUUCGUAAGAUGUCUAGAUGGAGCGAACCUAAGACAAAUGGUGAGAAUCAGAUGUCUGCUGAUGAAAAUUGUAAGAAGAAAGUUCAUAGGAAAGUAUUUCGUUAAUUUCCUCUUAAACCUCGAUUACAAAGAUUGUUUAUGUCUUCAAAGACUGUUGAGGAUAUGAGAUGGCAUGUUGUGUAUGCUAAUAAUGACAGUAUGAUGAGGCAUCCUAGAGAUUCCGCCGCAUGGAAGGAGUUUGACACAACAAACACAUCAUUUAGUGGAGAUCCACGAAAUGUUCGUCUUGGAUUGGCUGCUGAUGGUUUUAAUCCCCAUAGUGUAUUGAGUGCGAGUAACAACAUCUGGCCAGUUAUUCGCAUACCCUACAAUACUCCUCCAUGGGUGUGUAUAAAGUAGAUGUCUUUUAUCCUUUCAAUGAUAAUUCCUGGUAAAAAAGCACCAGGAAAUGAUAUAGAUGUUUACUUCUAGCCUCUAAUCAAGGAGCUGAAGGAAUCUGGAAUGAUGGUGUAGAUGCUUAUGAUGCUUCAAAGCAUGAGAUGUUCAAAUUGCAUGCUGCUUUGAUGUGGACCAUUAGUCACUUCCCUAUGUUCAAAUCUUUCUGGAUGGAACACCUACAUAGGAUUGGCUUGUCCUACAUGUAAUUUUGACGUUGUCCCUUGCCGCCUUCUGCAUAGUAAAAAAUGGUGUUUUAUGGGCCACCGUCGAUUCCUUGAUACAAGACAUAAAUUUAGACUGAACAGGAUUCGGUUUAAUGGAGAGCAAGAAUUACGUGAUGCACAUAAAUCAUUGUCUGGCUUUGAAAUUUUUGCACAGGUUAAGAACAUUAAUGUGGUAUUUGGUAGAAAAGAUAAAAGAGUUGACAAGCGAAAGAGAUCUCGUGGUGACCGAGAUUCCUCACAAAGUGGCACCCAACAAUGGAAGAAGAAAAGCAUAUUUUUUGAGCUUUCAUAUUGGGAGCACAAUAAGUUGCGUCACAAUCUUGAUGUCAUGCAUAUCGAAAAUAAUGUGUGCGAAAAUAUCCUAUUUACCUUGCUAAAUUAUGGAAAGUCAAAAGAUCACUUGAAAGCUUGAAAAGACCUUCAAGUCAUGGGCUUUAGGCAUGACCUUUGGCCAGACGAGAAUGGAAAAUGUCCUUUAGCUAUUUAUACAAUGACUAAUCAAGGAAAUAAGUUCUUUUUAACAACUUUAAGCAAUAUCAUUGUACCAGAUGUUUAUUCCAGCAACAUUUCUAGGUGCAUUGAUAUGGUGAAUUUUUGAUUGAGUGGAAUGCUAAAAAGCCGUGAUUAUCAUAUAUUGUUGGAGAAAUUGCUACCGUUGGCCAUGCAGACAACAUUUCCCAAUGAAGUCUCAAAAGUAUUGAAUGGAUUAAGCUCAUUCUUUAGACAACUGUGCUCAAAAGUGUUGAGUGUACCUGAUUUAGAACGAAUACAACAUGAUAUUCUGCUCACUCUUUGUAACAUGGAGAUGUUAUUCACCCCUUCGUUCUUCAUGGUCAUGGUUCAUUUAAUUGUCCACCUUGUUGAAGAAGCGAAGCUUGGACGUCCUGUAUAUUAUCGAUUGAUGAACCCUAUAAAGAGGUACUUAGAAUUUUUAAAAUCCUACGUGCGCAACAGGGCACAACCUACAAGCUCUAUUGCAGAAGGCUACCUAAUGCAAGAGAUCCUAACAUUUUGUUCAAGGUACCUCGAUGACAAAGAGACUGUAUGGAAUCGACCACAUCGUGUUGAUGAUGAGUCUAUUGAUACACAACCUAAAACACGAGAAGCAGAAUUGUUUCCUAAAGUGGGAAAAUCAGUUGGUUGCCACUCACAUUUCACCCUUUCAUCUGUUGAAAAACUAUUAGCUCAUCGACAUGUUCUAACCAAUUUCCCAAUAUUUGAUCCAUAUCUCCAGUAAGUACUUCAAAUAGCUUACUUAAAUCAUCCUUUUACAUGCCUUCUAACUUAUAUAUGUAUAGGAAAUUUGAAGAUAUUGUGCAAAGGCAACUAAGAAGGACUACAAGAAGUGCAAGUGAGAUAGUCAAGAAGGUUCAUAAAGAGUUUGCUAGUUGGUUCUAUAAUCAUGUAAGAAAAAUAUCAAAUUCAAAUGGAUAUUCAUUUUUAUUGGAAUUAUACACGUUUCUAACUCUAUGACUAUCUGUUUAGAUUUUUAAUAAUGGGAACGACCUUACUGAAACAGACAAAUAAGUUCUUCUUUGUCUUGCUGAAGGUCCUGAAAGGAUUGAGAACUCAAAAUAGUGGGGUUUUCGGUUCAUUUGGAACAAGAAGUUACUGGAUUCGUAGUGAUGCCCAAAUGAGAUUUGGAGGGGUUCCUUACUAUGGGAAACUGAUAGACAUAAUUAAGCUCAGCUUUAGUGGCUUAUUCACGAUUCCUUUAUUUAAAUGUAAAUGGGCUAAUACCACCAAUCCUAGAGGAAUGCAAAAAAUAUGAUUUGGGUUUUACCGCAAUUAACUUCACAAGACCUAUACAUACGGGAGAUCAUGAAGAUGGUGAGCCUUUUAUUAAAUCUUCGGAAGCCCAAAUGGUUUUUUAUGUUGAUGAUGAGAAAGAAAAAGGUUGGAGUAUACCCAUACAUUGAAUCCAAGGGACUUAUAUGACAUGGGUGAAGCUAUUGAAGAGGUAAUUGUAUCAAAUGAGGCAUUUCCAUCACAAAACUUGGAGCAAAUUUUUCUGAAUACUAUCGAACAUGUACAAUUGGCAAGAGUUGCUACAAAUGAUGAUCCUCUAGAUUAUAUCAUUGUUGAAAAUAUUGAUGGUGACGAUAUUCAAGAUUAUAUAGUUACAUGACAGACAUGGGUAAAAUUCUCCUUUUUUAACAUUUUAUCAUAAUUUUUCUCUACAUCAAUAUAUAUUAGAAAAGAAGAACUUUCAUUGUGACGUGUCAACACCAGAUUAAUUCUUAGUGACGUGUCAGCACCAGAUUAAUUCUCAUAAAAAUUA
Lotus japonicus is the source of this 4710-nucleotide long non-coding RNA. RefSeq lists it as uncharacterized. NCBI's taxonomy places the organism in Eukaryota, Viridiplantae, Streptophyta, Magnoliopsida, Fabales, Fabaceae. The transcript has 3 exons. The record is from RefSeq and is a predicted model, not a curated record.